Molecule: long non-coding RNA, 458 nt
Filed under: Mytilus galloprovincialis (Mediterranean mussel)
Lineage: Eukaryota; Metazoa; Mollusca; Bivalvia; Mytilida; Mytilidae
Source: RNAcentral
AAUGGGAAAAUUAUGUACAGUACACUAAACUAAUUGUAAACAUGUUUACUCUACACGGCGUUUGGUGUGAACACGACCUUAGUUAAGGAAACAGAUGUCCACGAUGUUCAAAUCUAAUAAAUCAAUCAAAAGAUAACAAAUAAAGUAAGGAAUAGCAUAAAAAAAGGACCGGGCUUGUGUCUUGUGGAUAAGCGUUUCCUGCUAUGCUAGGAUCACACGUCAUGCGAAUUAUUGCACAAGGAAAAUGUAACAAUCAGAUAAAGACAAAAUUGAUAGAAUUACAACUGUUGAGUAUCUUAAGAUACUAAAUGGAACCACAGACAUGAUGGUCGAUUUCGAACGUCCAUCUUCAUAGCUUUGUCGAAGCAGUUUUUAUGUUAGCAGCACAUCUGCCAAUAAGCGGAUAAUUUGAACAUGCACGGAAUAACGUAACGUCUCAAUUCAGAUAGGUACACGCC